RNAcentral lists this long non-coding RNA (571 nucleotides) under Pongo abelii (Sumatran orangutan). Its description in RNAcentral is "lincRNA". Lineage: Eukaryota; Metazoa; Chordata; Mammalia; Primates; Hominidae. The record is from RNAcentral.
UAAGGAUGAAAUUGCAGGAACUGAGGUUUUAUAAGCAGCCAAACAGUGUGUGCAUUCAGAAAAAGAUAUUUUUCUAAGGUGAUCUACACCUCAGAGCACUUCCUCCCACUGGGCAGUGGACCACUCGAGCAGCGGUUCUCAACACCUGAACCCCAGACUCAUAGCAGCAGCAGCAGCUAGGAACAGGCUUUUGUGGAGAGACUGAGAAAAUCACCUCCUGGAGAAAUGAAGGCUGAAAGCCCUGGCAAAAAAGGAGACGGUUCUCUAGAGACAGGCAGGAAAAAGUUUCAGGAGGAGACAUGUCAGGUGCUGAUGCCAGAAGCAAAGGUACCAGUGUUGAUGGCACCUUCUUCCAGAUCAUAAAGGGCUUCUCCUUGGGUUCAAGCUUUCUGCAAAUGGCAGCAGCUGGGCAGGCUGCUAAGCAUAGAGGAGAGUUGCCCUCACCUGAUCCUGAGAACCAAGACUAAGUAAUGCAUCCUGGGAAGGCCCAGGCCAAACAGAGGCCCUGUGGUGGGUUGCUCCAAGGGAAACCCAGGAACGGAGAAGGAAGGAGGAAGUUUGGGAAGCAGAC